This is a long non-coding RNA of Cyprinus carpio (common carp), 851 nucleotides long. RefSeq lists it as uncharacterized. NCBI's taxonomy places the organism in Eukaryota, Metazoa, Chordata, Actinopteri, Cypriniformes, Cyprinidae. The transcript is spliced from 2 exons. The record is from RefSeq and is a predicted model, not a curated record.
UGUCUUGAAACAACUAUGAUAAAUUUUAUUUUAUUCAUGCAUCUUCUGUGUUGAGAAUGACUUAAACUCUGUAUUUCUGUAGAUUUAAAAUUAAUUAGAAAUCAGAUUGUCCGACUAAAAUUAUCCUGUAAUGGAAACUGCACAUUGAAUGAUCAGACGGGCAUACUGAAUGAGAUAAGUAAAAAGCUGAAAAGCAUGGGACUGGAAGGUGAAAGUAAAAUAAGCUGGAGAAAGAGUGAAGGUGGAGAGGUGUUUCAUCAGGAGAGCAACCGUACAGCCAAUUUAAAUAAUAAAUGUGGUAGACGGUAAUCUACUGUAUGUACCCUUUUAAACAUCUUAAAGUGUAUUAAAGAUGCUUCAGAAUUUUCUGCAUAUUUUAGAAACAAUACAUCCUGUAAAUAGAGCAGAAGUAGGAUGCAUGGAAUUGCACAAAUAUAUUUUAAGAAUGCUUGCUUAGGAUAUAAAUUGAAUGUGCGAGACUUCCGGUUCAUUAACAUACCACUACACAUUAGAUAGAUAGAUAGAUAGAUAGAUAGAUAGAUAGAUAGAUAGAUAGAUAGAUAGAUAGAUAGAUAGAUAGAUAGAUAGAUAGUAGGGCUGUACGAUUAUGACAUAAAUCUUAAUUGUCGAUUAUUCCCUUGAAAUUGUAAUUGCGAUUAUUAAUUACGAUUAUCACAAUUUACAUUGAAUGAUGUUUAUACUAGAGAUUGCACCGAAGUGGAACAGAUUGCCUACUAUCUUACUCAAAGAAAGUACUCUUUACUAUUCUUACUCACAUGCUGUAUUGCUAAUAAACAUGACAUAAUUUCAGUUCUGUUGCUUUUAUAUGAAAAUAAAUAUGGUGAACAAGA